CGAUCUGAGCGGCGGCGGUGGCGGCUCCCAUCCUCUUCCUCCACUCCUCUCCCUCAGAUUGAGCUCCGCCCCGAAGGAAAGGGUACGCGGCCGUCGAUCUGUGUGCGUCUAGCCAUGGAGGGCUCGCCCCUCUCACGCGCCUCGUCCGCACGGAGCGCUAGCAGCCCACACGGCAUAGAUCCACUAUCCCUGCGUCCGCCCCACCGGCCGCCGGUGACUGCCGCACUAUUCCAUUCCUCCCCAAGCGUGCCGCACGCGACGGCCCAUGCUGCCUUGCCGUGUUUCUGCAGCUAGACCGCCACCCCUACCCUCGCGCUCCGGGCAGAGGCUCAUUCUUCUUGGUGGUGACUACGCGUUCCUCCCGGUGGUGGCGCUCUGCCCGCUGUGUUGCCUUUCUCCAAGCAGCUGUGCCCUUCGACCCCUACCUGUAAUCAAUUGAUCCGGCAACAGAGAGUUGAAGCUGCAAAGAAGCGUGAUGAGGAAAAAGCCGAAUUUACGACUGACAGAUUACAUGCUGGUUUCUUACUGCUUAGGUUUCGACAUUCGACAUUUGAACAAAUCAUAUACUGGAGAUUAUUAUAAUAGAAGGAAAGACAUACAAGAUGACCAGGAACCAUGAAGCUCGUAGUUUGCGUUAACUGUGUAAUGGAGAGGACUAUGAAUCGCUGGACAUGUGUCUAUUAGCUAUCAUAUAUGGUGUCUCAGUCAAGUGGAUAUUCUGUGUAAUGUAAGACACAUGAUUUGUAGGACAUAUAUCUAUUGGCUAUCAUUUUGUAAACCUAUCCGGUCUCUCGGUCACUGAACCAUAAAUGUUUCCUCUUAAUUGGCUACCUCCUCCGUUUGUGAGAAGUAAUUAAUGUGCUAUUUUUAUU
This is a long non-coding RNA of Triticum dicoccoides, 872 nucleotides long. RefSeq lists it as uncharacterized. The transcript has 4 exons. Lineage: Eukaryota; Viridiplantae; Streptophyta; Magnoliopsida; Poales; Poaceae. The record is from RefSeq and is a predicted model, not a curated record.